RNAcentral lists this ribosomal RNA (458 nucleotides) under uncultured bacterium. Its description in RNAcentral is "partial 16S ribosomal RNA". It matches the Rfam family "Bacterial small subunit ribosomal RNA", at positions 29 to 523 of the family's 1533-position model. The record is from RNAcentral.
AACGAACGCUGGCGGCAGGCCUAACACAUGCAAGUCGAACGAGAAGCCACCUUCGGGUGGUGGAAAGUGGCAGACGGGUGAGUAACACGUGGAACGUGCCCUUUGGUUCGGAACAACUCUGGGAAACUGGAGCUAAUACCGGAUAAGCCCUACGGGGGAAAGAUUUAUCGCCGAAGGAUCGGCCCGCGUCUGAUUAGCUUGUUGGUGAGGUAAUGGCUCACCAAGGCGACGAUCAGUAGCUGGUCUGAGAGGAUGAUCAGCCACACUGGGACUGAGGCACGGCCCAGACUCCUACGGGAGGCAGCAGUGGGGAAUAUUGGACAAUGGGCGCAAGCCUGAUCCAGCCAUGCCGCGUGAGUGAUGACGGCCUUAGGGUUGUAAAGCUCUUUCGCCAGGGACGAUAAUGACGGUACCUGGAUAAGAAGCCCCGGCUAACUUCGUGCCAGCCGCCGCCGUAA